CAGCGCGGGGGGUUGAGGUGGCACUUGGGGCGGCUAACGACCUUGAGCCCCCCGGCAUGGGGAGAGCGGGGCCCAGAGGCAGGAGCAUGGGCCUGGCAACCCUCCCCCUGGGAGCUGGGAUCCGCCAGGGCAGUGGGGGGGGGGGGGGGAGCCAGAGGCUGCGCCCCAGCCCCCCUUAGCAACCUCCCCUUGCUCCUGUACCCUCCAUACCCAGAGGGCGGACGAGCCACCUGGGAGCAAUGGCCUAAACGAGGGAUGGAGCUUGUCCUGGGGACUUCCCUAUGCUGACCCCCCUCCCUGCCCCCAGCCACUCCCCCCCCAUCCCAUUCCUCACCCCUCUGCCCCCAGCCACUCCCCCACCCUGGGGCCAGAUGGGAGCCGGCACCCCCUUGUGGGGAAAGGCCCCAUGCCCUUAGCCAGCUCCCUCCUCGCAAAGAGAGUUUCUGGCACCCAAAUCCCUUCCCUACCCCCCGUGUUCUGCUUUGAUCCUCUUCCGCCUCUGCCCAGGUGGAAACCGUGGCCAUGGAAGAGGCCCAGCCCGCUGCAGCGCAACGUGGCGAGAUUCUCAGGGGCUCAAGUGGAUCAGAAGGUGAGUAAAUUGGUGCCAUUCCAGCUGGCCAAGGAUUAGAAGAAAGUCCCCAUCAGAUGGGCAGAUAUUCUAAAGAAUGCCAUCAAGGACUACAAAGAGGUCUACUCCGAGAUCGUUAACCGAGCCAGCAGGACCCUCCAGCGGGUCACACUCUUCUGGGACUGGGACAGUGCCAGGCGCUAGGGGG
Mauremys reevesii (Reeves's turtle) is the source of this 776-nucleotide long non-coding RNA. RefSeq lists it as uncharacterized. The record is from RefSeq and is a predicted model, not a curated record. Lineage: Eukaryota; Metazoa; Chordata; Testudines; Geoemydidae. The transcript is spliced from 3 exons.